RNAcentral lists this ribosomal RNA (484 nucleotides) under uncultured bacterium. Its description in RNAcentral is "partial 16S ribosomal RNA". It matches the Rfam family "Bacterial small subunit ribosomal RNA", at positions 30 to 507 of the family's 1533-position model. The record is from RNAcentral.
AUUGAACGCUGGCGGCAGGCCUAACACAUGCAAGUCGAGCGGAUGAAGGGAGCUUGCUCCUGGAUUCAGCGGCGGACGGGUGAGUAAUGCCUAGGAAUCUGCCUGGUAGUGGGGGAUAACGUCCGGAAACGGGCGCUAAUACCGCAUACGUCCUGAGGGAGAAAGUGGGGGAUCUUCGGACCUCACGCUAUCAGAUGAGCCUAGGUCGGAUUAGCUAGUUGGUGGGGUAAAGGCCUACCAAGGCGACGAUCCGUAACUGGUCUGAGAGGAUGAUCAGUCACACUGGAACUGAGACACGGUCCAGACUCCUACGGGAGGCAGCAGUGGGGAAUAUUGGACGAUGGGCGAAAGCCUGAUCCAGCCAUGCCGCGUGUGUGAAGAAGGUCUUCGGAUUGUAAAGCACUUUAAGUUGGGAGGAAGGGCAGUAAGUUAAUACCUUGCUGUUUUGACGUUACCAACAUAAUAAGCACCGGCUAACUUCGUG